Molecule: long non-coding RNA, 211 nt
Filed under: Lathyrus oleraceus (garden pea)
Lineage: Eukaryota; Viridiplantae; Streptophyta; Magnoliopsida; Fabales; Fabaceae
Description: Pisum sativum (pea) long non-coding RNA (PSAT_LNC005451)
Source: RNAcentral
UUUCUUUUCCAAUUUAUUCUCAUUUUAUAUAAGGCAUUGUUAUUUUUGGCUUUUCAUUGGUCUGGUUAUUUAAUUGAAUUAAUUAGGAUAUAUGUUUGGGUAUUAUUAUUAUUUUCUUAUUACUAGAUUGUUAGAUAAAUAUUUUAAAUAAAAAGUAAAUUGAUAUUAGAAUAAAUUAUAAAAUUGUUGGCCUUUAUUAAUUUAACUAAUC